This 121-nucleotide transfer RNA is filed under the name Microcaldota archaeon. RNAcentral's name for it is "tRNA-Ile". It matches the Rfam family "tRNA". From Rfam's summary of the family: Transfer RNA (tRNA) molecules are approximately 80 nucleotides in length. The record is from RNAcentral. Lineage: Archaea; Nanobdellati; Microcaldota.
GGGCCCGUAGCUCAGUCUGCAACUUUUGGAAAAAGUUACAUCAAAACCAAAAAUUGCCUGAAACGGUUAGAGCGUUCGACUGAUAAUCGAAAGGUCGUGAGUUCAAAUCCCAUCGGGCCCA